Molecule: ribosomal RNA, 499 nt
Filed under: uncultured bacterium
Lineage: Bacteria
Description: bacterial SSU rRNA
Rfam family: Bacterial small subunit ribosomal RNA
Source: RNAcentral
GACGAACGCUGGCGGCAUGCCUAAUACAUGCAAGUCGAGCGAACAGAUGAGGAGCUUGCUCCUCUGAUGUUAGCGGCGGAUGGGUGAGUAACACGUGGGCAACCUGCCCUGCAGAUGGGGAUAACUCCGGGAAACCGGGGCUAAUACCGAAUAAUCAGUUCUUCCGCAUGGAAGAACUCUGAAAGACGGUUUCGGCUGUCACUGCAGGAUGGGCCCGCGGCGCAUUAGCUAGUUGGUGGGAUAACGGCCUACCAAGGCGACGAUGCGUAGCCGACCUGAGAGGGUGAUCGGCCACACUGGGACUGAGACACGGCCCAGACUCCUACGGGAGGCAGCAGUAGGGAAUCUUCCACAAUGGACGAAAGUCUGAUGGAGCAAUGCCGCGUGAGUGAAGAAGGUUUUCGGAUCGUAAAACUCUGUUGUGAGGGAAGAACAAGUACGGGAGUAACUGUCCGUACCUUGACGGUACCUCAUUAGAAAGCCACGGCUAACUACGUGC